CCCUGGUAGUCCACGCCGUAAACGGUGGGCGCUAGUUGUGCGAACCUUCCACGGUUUGUGCGACGCAGCUAACGCAUUAAGCGCCCCGCCUGGGGAGUACGAUCGCAAGAUUAAAACUCAAAGGAAUUGACGGGGCCCCGCACAAGCAGCGGAGCAUGCGGCUUAAUUCGACGCAACGCGAAGAACCUUACCAAGGCUUGACAUAUACAGGAAUACGGCAGAGAUGUCGUAGCGGUAAAACGUCUGUAUACAGGUGGUGCAUGGUUGUCGUCAGCUCGUGUCGUGAGAUGUUGGGUUAAGUCCCGCAACGAGCGCAACCCUCGUUCUGUGUUGCCAGCAUUUAGUUGGGGACUCACAGGAGACUGCCGGGGUUAACUCGGAGGAAGGUGGGGAUGACGUCAAAUCAUCAUGCCCCUUAUGUCUUGGGCUGCACGCAUGCUACAAUGGCUGGUACAAACGGCUGCAAUACCGCAAGGUGGAGCGAAUCCGAUAAAGCCAGUCUCAGUUCGGAUUGGGGUCUGCAACUCGACCCCAUGAAGUCGGAGUUGCUAGUAAUCGUAGAUCAGCAACGCUACGGUGAAUACGUUCCCGGGGCUUGUACACACCGCCCGUCACAUCACGAAAUCGGUAACACCCAAA
Molecule: ribosomal RNA, 639 nt
Filed under: uncultured Actinomycetes bacterium
Lineage: Bacteria; Bacillati; Actinomycetota; Actinomycetes
Description: bacterial SSU rRNA
Rfam family: Bacterial small subunit ribosomal RNA
Source: RNAcentral